AGAAACCAGUACUCACAAUAAACCCUACCUAGACUUACAAUGAAAUAAAAGUAUCAAAACAUCUGAGUUUGAAAUGUUCAAACCAGGAGAAACUGAGAGGUGAAUGUAGAAGCAGGAGACUUUCAUUAUAGCUGUGUCUGGUUAUCUAAGGAAACACAGGCUGGAGUCCUACAAUCACACAAAAUUCUGCCAACAAUCUAAAUGAACCUGGAGCAUCUCCUGAUAAGAUCUGAGUUUUGUGAGACCCACUGCAGAGAAACUACUGGAACCCCUGAACUUCUGACCUUCUGAACUUGCUGAAGAAGACUCUUGAUCAACAUACCUCUGCUGAAGUUUUCCCUGGCAUUCAAGAGGACAGAUUACCAGGAACUUCCACUGGUGUGACACCACGUGACUUGUUUGCCAUUUGAUGAGCCAUCACCAUACCAUUUCCAACAGGGACUGGAUCACAGUCCUGGCCAAGGUUAUUUUGCUUAUAGUUUCACAACAUAUUUUGGAAAUCCCUGGAUUACUAAAAAACAAAUGUUCUUUUCUUUCUUCUGUUUGACACUAUGUAAAAUAAAUUGAGAAGUCAGUUGCUUUGGAGAAUUCAUCCUACAUGUUUAUGCACAGCAUUGAUGCGUUGAAUCAUCUCACCAGAAUAUAUAAAUGUGUAUUUAUUUCUGACACUUCUGGUUCAUGGAUUUGAAGUCUUCAGUUUAAAGACAAAUUAACUUUCAAGCUUCAAAGGCAAGAUAACAUUCAUCCUCACUCUACUGUAGCUCCACCAAUAGUAAUUGAAGAAGAAACAACUAAACCGGAUGUCAGGGCCCCUGAACACUAUGGAUUUAGAGGGCUACACAGUGAAAAAAGAUUGCCAGGUCCUAACUUUAAUAGCUGGCACAGAUCUGGUUUUAAUUAAUCCUUGGCAGAUUGGAUGGCCUCUAUGAAGCAUUUAAGAGAUAUUUCCACACUAUCAGGCCAUGAAAUAGUGCCCAGGAGUGACACACACUGCCUCUUUCCCUGGAAGAUCACAACUUAUUUCCAGAUGGACAAGGAAAAGUUCAAUUAAUCUCUACAUCUGGUAUUUGCAGGCUUUAUCAACUUGCUAAAGUUCAGUUUCUUCUAAGCA
Odocoileus virginianus texanus is the source of this 1111-nucleotide long non-coding RNA. RefSeq lists it as uncharacterized. The record is from RefSeq and is a predicted model, not a curated record. NCBI's taxonomy places the organism in Eukaryota, Metazoa, Chordata, Mammalia, Artiodactyla, Cervidae.